RNAcentral lists this ribosomal RNA (1829 nucleotides) under marine metagenome. RNAcentral describes it as "bacterial LSU rRNA". It matches the Rfam family "Bacterial large subunit ribosomal RNA", at positions 1 to 1990 of the family's 2925-position model. The record is from RNAcentral.
UCAAGCGUUUAAGGGCGAUUGGCGGAUGCCUUGGCACUGUAAGACGAUGAAGGACGUGGUAUACUGCGAUAAGUUUCGGGGAGCUGUAUGCAGGCUUUGAUCCGAAAAUUUCCGAAUGGGGAAACCCAACACUUCGUGUGUUACUUUAUACUGAAUUCAUAGGUAUAAAGAGUGAACCUGGAGAACUGAAACAUCUAAGUAACCAGAGGAAAAGAAAUCAAUUGAGACUCCGUGAGUAGUGGCGAGCGAAAGCGGACUAGGCCAGCAACUUAGUUUAGACAAUUUGAAUAGUUUGGAAAAACUAACCACAGAGGGUGAUAGUCCCGUAAAAGUAAUGCUAAUUCUAAGUUCUUGAGUAAAGCGGGACACGUGAAAUCCUGCUCGAAUUUUGGGGGACCACCCUCUAAGCCUAAGUACUCUACAGUGACCGAUAGUGAACUAGUACCGUGAGGGAAAGGUGAAAAGAACCCCUAUUAGGGGAGUGAAAUAGAACCUGAAACCGAUUGCCUACAAACAGUCGAAGCUCUUUUUAGAGUGACGGCGUACCUUUUGUAUAAUGGGUCAGUGACUUAAUUUGUAUAGCAAGCUUAAGCCGAUUAGGUGGAGGCGCAGCGAAAGCGAGUCUUAAUAGGGCGUUUAGUUAUAUGAAUUAGACCCGAAAACGAAUGAGCUUACCAUGAGCAGGUUGAAAGUUGGGUAACACCAACCGGAGGACCGAACCAGUUGACGUUGAAAAGUCUUUGGAUGACUUGUGGUAAGGGGUGAAAGGCCAACCAAAUUCGUAGAUAGCUGGUUUUCCGCGAAAACUAUUUAGGUAGUGCGUUGAAUAAACAUACUUUUGGAGGUAGAGCACUAAAUGGGCUAGGGGGGAGAAAUCCUUACCAAACCUAAUAAAACUCCGAAUGCCAAAAGUAAUUCCUCAACAGACAGACUGUGGGUGCUAAGGUCCAUGGUCGAGAGGGGAACAGCCCAGAUCACCAGAUAAGGUCCCUAAAUCAUGAUUAAGUGUGAAAGGAUGUGGAGAUUCCUUAACAGCCGGGAGGUUGGCUUAGAAGCAGCCAUCCUUUAAAGAUAGCGUAACAGCUCACCGGUCUAAUAGAGUUUCUGCGCCUAAGAUGUAACGGGGCUCAAAUCAUGUACCGAAUCUGUGGGUGUAUAAAGUUUUCGAAUUUUAUACGCGGUAGCGGAACGUUCUGUAAGCCUGUAAAGGGAUACCCGCGAGGGAUCCUGGAGGUAUCAGAAGUGCGAAUGCUGACAUAAGUAACGAUUAACAGAGUGAAAAACUCUGUCGCCGAAAAUCCAAGGGUUCCUGCGCAAGGUUAAUCCGCGCAGGGUUAGUCGGCCCCUAAGACGAGGGCGAAAGCCGUAGUCGAUGGGAACCAGGUUAAUAUUCCUGGACCAGAUGGUAGUGACGGAUUUUGUAAAUUGUUAACUCUUAAUGGAUUGAGUUAGCUGUGAAAAAGUCCCAGGAAAUAGCUCCAUCAUAAGACCGUACCCUAAACCGACACAGGUGGAUUAUUAGAGUAUAAUUAGGCGCUUGAGAGAAUGAUGUUGAAGGAACUCGGCAAAAUGCCUCUGUAACUUCGGAAGAAAGAGGACCUAUUUUUGGGCAACCAUAAAUAGGUGGCACAAGCCAGGGAGAAGCGACUGUUUAUCAAAAACACAGGACUCUGCUAACACGUAAGUGGAUGUAUAGGGUCUGACGCCUGCCCGGUGCUGGAAGGUUAAUGCGAUGGGUGCAAGCUCAUUUCUGAAGCCCCAGUAAACGGCGGCCGUAACUAUAACGGUCCUAAGGUAGCGAAAUUCCUUGUCGGGUAAGUUCCGACCUG